CCGCGGCAAGACGGAAAGACCCCGUGAACCUUUACUAUAGCUUGACACUGAACAUUGAGCCUUGAUGUGUAGGAUAGGUGGGAGGCUUUGAAGUGUGGACGCCAGUCUGCAUGGAGCCGACCUUGAAAUACCACCCUUUAAUGUUUGAUGUUCUAACGUGGACCCGUGAUCCGGGUUGCGGACAGUGUCUGGUGGGUAGUUUGACUGGGGCGGUCUCCUCCUAAAGAGUAACGGAGGAGCACGAAGGUUGGCUAAUCCUGGUCGGACAUCAGGAGGUUAGUGCAAUGGCAUAAGCCAGCUUGACUGCGAGCGUGACGGCGCGAGCAGGUGCGAAAGCAGGUCAUAGUGAUCCGGUGGUUCUGAAUGGAAGGGCCAUCGCUCAACGGAUAAAAGGUACUCCGGGGAUAACAGGCUGAUACCGCCCAAGAGUUCAUAUCGACGGCGGUGUUUGGCACCUCGAUGUCGGCUCAUCACAUCCUGGGGCUGAAGUAGGUCCCAAGGGUAUGGCUGUUCGCCAUUUAAAGUGGUACGCGAGCUGGGUUUAGAACGUCGUGAGACAGUUCGGUCCCUAUCUGCCGUGGGCGCUGGAGAACUGAGGGGGGCUGCUCCUAGUACGAGAGGACCGGAGUGGACGCAUCACUGGUGUUCGGGUUGUCAUGCCAAUGGCACUGCCCGGUAGCUAAAUGCGGAAGAGAUAAGUGCUGAAAGCAUCUAAGCACGAAACUUGCCCCGAGAUGAGUUCUCCCUGAGACUUUAGGUCUCCUGAAGGAACGUUGAAGACGACGACGUUGAUAGGCCGGGUGUGUAAGCGCAGCGAUGCGUUGAGCUAACCGGUACUAAUGAACCGUGAGGCUUAACCUU
Molecule: ribosomal RNA, 861 nt
Filed under: Salmonella enterica
Lineage: Bacteria; Pseudomonadati; Pseudomonadota; Gammaproteobacteria; Enterobacterales; Enterobacteriaceae
Also listed under: 1 other name
Description: partial 23S ribosomal RNA
Rfam family: Bacterial large subunit ribosomal RNA
Source: RNAcentral